CAGGUCCACUCUCCACUCUCAACUAGUGGCCAGAAUCUCUCCACUCUUUUUUCUUUUUUACAUCUUAUCUCUACACCAACCACUUUUUGGCAUGGGCCGAGACAUUGGACUUGGAGCAUCAAACGCGUCUUUUUGAAAGUGGUGUUCAGAGGUUAACAAACGCACUUUCUGUAAGAAGUAAUUUUCUCAAAAAUCAUAUCCAAAGCACCUUGCUAGUUUGCUUUCUUUGCCUAUAUUAACGCCAUCUAGAAAGCCCUUGUUUUCAACUUGCUCCUGUCCAUGGUCUGUAAUAGAUGAGAGAAACGGAGAGUCCUAGCAAGUCUUUGGAGAUGGGAGAGUAUGCAAGAAGAAAAAAUUCAUGAUUUAAUAUUCCUUCUUGCCUACUCCUCCCAUUCCAUCUGCUUUCUGCGACUCCUCUCUUUCCUUAUUCUAGACAAAAGCGUGAUCUAAAAUUAAUCGAGGAGCAAGAGGGAAAGGAAAGAGGGUUGCUGGGAGUUACGGGUAUGGGAGGAUUGGACAGGACUGCUUGGUUUUAAUUAACCGAAGUCUGUUCUUUCCAACGCCUCCCAUACCGGUGAUCUCCAGCUGCUUCCUCCCUUUCCCUUGCUUGUCCUACUUCAGAUCCUUCAGUUUGGUAAGAUCUGUCCUUGUAUGCUUGUCGUUGGUCACAUGAUGAUGGUGAUGAUGCGUGCUCUUAUUUUGUUUUUUAAAAAAGAGUAUCAUUUCGUUGACUUGUUGAUCUUGCUUUUACCCGGGAUAUUGUUACAUGUCUUGUAUAAUGAUUUUUAUUAGCCCUUUUUUUAUGCUCAGGUGACAAAAGCGAGUUGUUGGUUAUGAGUAUCGUUGAAAAGAUUAGAGGAAGUUUUGAUCUGUUGGUAGAUCUGAGUAAAUCAUUUGUCUAUCUAGCUAGAUUUAACAUUAGCAACUGAUAAAUCAUGUGUUUUGAAAUGUGAACUGUGAUGUUCACAACAUAUCUGUUCGCGCCUCUUCUAUUUCGGGGAUGCUGUCUCAGUUGGUUCUAUACUGCAGUUCUGGAUUAGCUCUGAUGUUCCUUGAUCUGUUCUUUGAAUUUGGAAUUUAUUUUGAGCAUCUGUCCACGCGUUUCGUCUAAUAAUGGGUGACCCCGACAUGAUUCAUACGGUGGGUGGAUGAAAUCAUACCAUACGGGUGUGGUCAGCUUUGUUU
This 1185-nucleotide small RNA is filed under the name Populus euphratica (Euphrates poplar). RNAcentral describes it as "miR482-miR1448 polycistron non-coding RNA". The record is from RNAcentral. Lineage: Eukaryota; Viridiplantae; Streptophyta; Magnoliopsida; Malpighiales; Salicaceae.